UACGGAGGGGGCUAGCGUUGUUCGGAAUUACUGGGCGUAAAGCGCACGUAGGCGGCUUUGUAAGUUAGAGGUGAAAGCCCGGAGCUCAACUCCGGAAUUGCCUUUAAGACUGCAUCGCUUGAAUCAUGGAGAGGUGAGUGGAAUUCCGAGUGUAGAGGUGAAAUUCGUAGAUAUUCGGAAGAGCACCAGUGGCGAAGGCGACUUACUGGACGAUUGUUGACGCUGAGGUGCGAAAGCGUGGGGAGCAAACAGG
RNAcentral lists this ribosomal RNA (253 nucleotides) under uncultured bacterium. RNAcentral describes it as "partial 16S ribosomal RNA". It matches the Rfam family "Bacterial small subunit ribosomal RNA", at positions 524 to 776 of the family's 1533-position model. The record is from RNAcentral.